This 399-nucleotide ribosomal RNA is filed under the name uncultured bacterium. RNAcentral describes it as "bacterial SSU rRNA". It matches the Rfam family "Bacterial small subunit ribosomal RNA", at positions 356 to 773 of the family's 1533-position model. The record is from RNAcentral.
GGGGAAUUUUGCGCAAUGGGGGAAACCCUGACGCAGCAACGCCGCGUGCGGGACGAAGGCCUUCGGGUUGUAAACCGCUUUCAGCAGGGAAUAUAGUGAAGGUACCUGCAGAAGAAGCUCCGGCUAACUACGUGCCAGCAGCCGCGGUAAUACGUAGGGAGCGAGCGUUAUCCGGAUUCAUUGGGCGUAAAGCGCGCGUAGGCGGCCCGUCAAGCGGGGUUUCAAAUCCAGGGGCUCAACCUCUGGCCGGACCCCGAACUGGCGGGCUCGAGUGCGGUAGAGGAAGGCGGAAUUCCCAGUGUAGCGGUGAAAUGCGCAGAUAUUGGGAAGAACACCGAUGGCGAAGGCAGCCUUCUGGGCCGCCACUGACGCUGAGGCGCGAAAGCUAGGGGAGCGAAC